CGCAUCUGUGCAUGCAGCAUAUCAAUAAGCGGAGGAAAAGAAACUAACAAGGAUUCCCCUAGUAACGGCGAGUGAAGCGGGAAGAGCUCAAAUUUGAAAUCUUAAAGGGUUUCCCUUUACGAAUUGUAGUUUAAAGAAGUGUUUUCUGUUGAGGUUUUGGUAAAAGUUCUUUGGAAUAGGACAUCAUAGAGGGUGAGAAUCCCGUAUUUGACCUUUACUUUCAACUUCGUGAUACACUUUCAAAGAGUCGGAUUGUUUGGGAAUGCAGUCCAAAAUGGGUGGUAAAUUUCAUCUAAAGCUAAAUAUUGGCGAGAGACCGAUAGCGAACAAGUACCGUGAGGGAAAGAUGAAAAGAACUUUGAAAAGAGAGUUAAACAGUACGUGAAAUUGUCAAAAGGGAAGCGUUUGACACCAGUGUUGUUUUUCUGAAAAUCAAUUAAAGAACUGUUUAUGCUAAGCUGUUUAGACUUUAUCAGCUAACUGGUUAGUUUUGAGCUUUUCUUUAAUGCACUUUUCAGUUAACAAGUCAACAUCAAUUUCUUUUGCUGUAAAAAAGCUUGAGGAAGGUGGCUUGAGAUCCGUCUUAAGUGUUUAUAGCCUCUUGCCUAUGCAGUCGGAGAGAUUGAGGUCUGCAGCGUAGAUCCUUCGGGGCUAAAUGCAUUUGUGCUAAGUUAUAGUAGUUUUAUAGACAACUUGUUGACUAUGAUUUGUCUUGUAGCUUACUCGCUUAUGUUAUUUACCUACGCUUAGGAUGUUGAGUCAUCACACAUCUCU
This 774-nucleotide ribosomal RNA is filed under the name uncultured Neocallimastigales. RNAcentral's name for it is "partial large subunit ribosomal RNA". It matches the Rfam family "Eukaryotic large subunit ribosomal RNA", at positions 26 to 614 of the family's 3401-position model. Lineage: Eukaryota; Fungi; Neocallimastigomycota; Neocallimastigomycetes; Neocallimastigales. The record is from RNAcentral.